This 837-nucleotide ribosomal RNA is filed under the name uncultured bacterium. Its description in RNAcentral is "bacterial SSU rRNA". It matches the Rfam family "Bacterial small subunit ribosomal RNA", at positions 61 to 908 of the family's 1533-position model. The record is from RNAcentral.
GUCGAACGGACUCAUAUUGAAACCUAGUGAUUUAUGAGUUAGUGGCGGACCGGUGAGUAACGCGUGGAUAACCUGCCGUAUACCGGGGGAUAACACUUAGAAAUAGGUGCUAAUACCGCAUAAGCGCACGGCUCCGCAUGGGGCAGUGUGAAAAACUCCGGUGGUAUACGAUGGAUCCGCGUCUGAUUAGCUAGUUGGCGGGGUAACGGCCCACCAAGGCAGCGAUCGGUAGCCGGCCUGAGAGGGUGGACGGCCACAUUGGGACUGAGACACGGCCCAAACUCCUACGGGAGGCAGCAGUGGGGAAUAUUGCACAAUGGGGGAAACCCUGAUGCAGCGACGCCGCGUGAGUGAAGAAGUAUCUCGGUACGUAAAGCUCUAUCAGCAGGGAAGAAAAUGACGGUACCUGACUAAGAAGCCCCGGCUAACUACGUGCCAGCAGCCGCGGUAAUACGUAGGGGGCAAGCGUUAUCCGGAUUUACUGGGUGUAAAGGGAGCGUAGACGGCAGCACAAGUCUGGAGUGAAAUCCCGGGGCUUAACCCCGGAACUGCUUUGGAAACUGUGCGGCUGGAGUGCAGGAGGGGUAAGCGGAAUUCCUAGUGUAGCGGUGAAAUGCGUAGAUAUUAGGAGGAACACCGGUGGCGAAGGCGGCUUACUGGACUGUAACUGACGUUGAGGCUCGAAAGCGUGGGGAGCAAACAGGAUUAGAUACCCUGGUAGUCCACGCCGUAAACGAUGAUUACUAGGUGUCGGGGGAUCAAGGUCCUCCGGUGCCGGCGCAAACGCAUUAAGUAAUCCACCUGGGGAGUACGUUCGCAAGAAUGAAACUCAAAGGA